CAGAUUGACAAACAUGACCAACAUUUGUCAAUUCUGUUUUCAAAAUGCCUCUUGAAGGAUCUUAUCACCUUUGGGGAGAUGUGGCAGACCCCUCAAAGUGAAUUUGGAGGUUCUAUACCA
Small nucleolar RNA from Prolemur simus (greater bamboo lemur), 120 nucleotides. Lineage: Eukaryota; Metazoa; Chordata; Mammalia; Primates; Lemuridae. The record is from Ensembl.